UACGUAGGGGGCAAGCGUUGUCCGGAAUCAUUGGGCGUAAAGAGCUCGUAGGCGGCUUGUCACGUCUGCUGUGAAAACUCGGGGCUCAACCCCGAGCCUGCAGUGGAUACGGGCUAGCUAGAGUGCGGUAGGGGAGACUGGAGUUCCUGGUGUAGCGGUGAAAUGCGCAGAUAUCAGGAGGAACACCGGUGGCGAAGGCGGGUCUCUGGACCGAUACUGACGCUGAGGAGCGAAAGCGUGGGGAGCGAACAGG
This 253-nucleotide ribosomal RNA is filed under the name uncultured bacterium. RNAcentral describes it as "partial 16S ribosomal RNA". It matches the Rfam family "Bacterial small subunit ribosomal RNA", at positions 524 to 776 of the family's 1533-position model. The record is from RNAcentral.